Molecule: transfer RNA, 84 nt
Organism: Paraphaeosphaeria sporulosa
Lineage: Eukaryota; Fungi; Ascomycota; Dothideomycetes; Pleosporales; Didymosphaeriaceae
Rfam family: tRNA
About the family: Transfer RNA (tRNA) molecules are approximately 80 nucleotides in length. Their secondary structure includes four short double-helical elements and three loops (D, anti-codon, and T loops). Further hydrogen bonds mediate the characteristic L-shaped molecular structure. tRNAs have two regions of fundamental functional importance: the anti-codon, which is responsible for specific mRNA codon recognition, and the 3' end, to which the tRNAs corresponding amino acid is attached (by aminoacyl-tRNA synthetases). tRNAs cope with the degeneracy of the genetic code in two manners: having more than one tRNA (with a specific anti-codon) for a particular amino acid; and 'wobble' base-pairing, i.e. permitting non-standard base-pairing at the 3rd anti-codon position.
Source: Rfam
GCCCGCAUGGCUCAGUGGUAGAGCGUAUCACUAGUAGCCCAAAAGCAUAUGAUAAGGUCAUCAGUUCGAUUCUGAUUGUGGGCA